AGAGUUUGAUCCUGGCUCAGGAUUAACGCUAGCGGCAGGCCUAAUACAUGCAAGUCGAACGGCAGCACGGGUAGCAAUACCUGGUGGCGAGUGGCGCACGGGUGCGUAACGCGUAUGCAAUCUACCUAUAACUGGGGAAUAGCCUUCCGAAAGGAAGAUUAACACCGCAUAAUAUCACGAAACGGCAUCGCUUUGUGAUCAAAUCUCCGGAGGUUAUAGAUGAGCAUGCGUGACAUUAGCUAGUUGGUGAGGUAACGGCCCACCAAGGCUACGAUGUCUAGGGGGUCUGAGAGGAUGAUCCCCCACACUGGUACUGAGACACGGACCAGACUCCUACGGGAGGCAGCAGUAAGGAAUAUUGGACAAUGGCCGCAAGGCUGAUCCAGCCAUGCCGCGUGCAGGAUGAAGGUGCUCUGCAUUGUAAACUGCUUUUGUUUGGGAAUAAACCCCUCUACGUGUAGAGGGCUGAAUGUACCAAAAGAAUAAGGGACGGCUAACUUCGUGCCAGCAGCCGCGGUAAUACGAAGGUCCCGAGCGUUAUCCGGAUUUAUUGGGUUUAAAGGGUGCGUAGGCGGGUUAUUAAGUCAGUGGUGAAAGCCUACAGCUUAACUGUAGAAUUGCCAUUGAUACUGAUGAUCUUGAGUAUGAUUGAGGUGGGCGGAAUGUGUCAUGUAGCGGUGAAAUGCUUAGAUAUGACACAGAACACCGAUUGCGAAGGCAGCUCACUAAGUCAUAACUGACGCUGAUGCACGAAAGCGUGGGGAGCAAACAGGAUUAGAUACCCUAGUAGUCC
RNAcentral lists this ribosomal RNA (793 nucleotides) under uncultured bacterium. RNAcentral describes it as "bacterial SSU rRNA". It matches the Rfam family "Bacterial small subunit ribosomal RNA", at positions 8 to 796 of the family's 1533-position model. The record is from RNAcentral.